CUGUGUGCCUGACUUCGUUAGUCAUUGCUGGCAUCAAUGGGACGUUGACUCUUGGAGUCACUCCAAUGCGGCCCUAUCGAUCUAUUCGCGAGACUAGUAUAUAAGAGACUACAGGACCAAAUACUCACCGGCGUAUAUGGGAAUCCGGAACCGAAAACGAUGAAGGCAGACAUCUACAGAAGAAACUAUCUAGGAAGCAGCGCCUCCUCGCGGAUGACAGACGACGACUCAUUCAGACCAUGCCACUUCAAGCUGUGCCCUUUAGGAGGAACCGGACGCCGAGGAAGGAAAUAGACGCCGAAGGCGUCCUCUAUAGAGAUUUAAUCAAUUGGGGGCGCUUGAUUUGGCGGUAAUUAAAAUAAAGACUCGUUCUGAUGCGCGCGCGUACUAGGCGGCAAGGUCUUCUAGUCACGUGUCACGCGCAUGUCAACAAUCCGCCCCUUCUGCUCAUCACUGCUGACGUCACUACAAUACCACGCCCACAGCACUCGCGGUGAUGAUGCGCUGCACGAGUCCGUACACGCAACUAUCUUGACACAAUCUAAUUAAUUCGUAACGAAGAAUAGGGAAUUAAUGAGGAAAAUUUUUGCAUAUAUUUUGACUAAGCUUAUAGUGUCGGAUACGCAAGUGACGCAUAGAACUGUUGAAUUCAAUCACUAUCUGAAGACAGACACUGAAUAAUAAACGGUUAACCUUCUAUGAAUCGGAAUGUAAGACUUGUCCUACCUAACAUAUCCGAUAUUUAUAUAAAAAUGAUGACAUCUCACUAUCUAAGACUAUAUGUCAUAGUGCUGUACUAUCGUACUAUUACAUGCAAACACGCAGCAACAGACGCAAACAUGACGCAUGCAGCUACGCAGGCAAACAAAAACGAGCAACAAACAAACGAGGAAUGUAAAACGUGUUAUUAUAGCGUUACGAAAUGUCAAUUAAUAUUCUUUAUUGGGUAAAUCCAAGAACGUCUAAAUUUGUUAUACUGUACUAGUAUUACACAUAUCACAAUAUUGCAGUGUUCUGUCUAAUGUGUAAAUAUCUAGACGAAAUCAACAACUAUAUAAUGAGAAAUUGAUGAGCAAUCGCACAAGAUGUACCUACUUAUUGACUAUGUAUCCGAAAUAAAUAGAAUAUAUUCUAUAAUAUA
This 1141-nucleotide unclassified non-coding RNA is filed under the name Priapulus caudatus. RNAcentral's name for it is "uncharacterized LOC106804916, transcript variant X1". Lineage: Eukaryota; Metazoa; Priapulida; Priapulimorpha; Priapulimorphida; Priapulidae. The record is from RNAcentral.